UACGUAGGGGGCUAGCGUUGCUCGGAAUCACUGGGCGUAAAGGGUGCGUAGGCGGGUCUUUAAGUCAGGGGUGAAAUCCUGGAGCUCAACUCCAGAACUGCCUUUGAUACUGGGGAUCUCGAGUCCGGGAGAGGUGAGUGGAACUGCGAGUGUAGAGGUGAAAUUCGUAGAUAUUCGCAAGAACACCAGUGGCGAAGGCGGCUCACUGGCCCGGAACUGACGCUGAGGUGCGAAAGCGUGGGGAGCAAACAGG
RNAcentral lists this ribosomal RNA (253 nucleotides) under uncultured bacterium. RNAcentral's name for it is "partial 16S ribosomal RNA". It matches the Rfam family "Bacterial small subunit ribosomal RNA", at positions 524 to 776 of the family's 1533-position model. The record is from RNAcentral.